RNAcentral lists this ribosomal RNA (468 nucleotides) under uncultured bacterium. RNAcentral describes it as "partial 16S ribosomal RNA". It matches the Rfam family "Bacterial small subunit ribosomal RNA", at positions 28 to 507 of the family's 1533-position model. The record is from RNAcentral.
GACGAACGCUGGCGGCGUGCUUAACACAUGCAAGUCGAACGGAAAGGCCCUGCUUUUGUGGGGUGCUCGAGUGGCGAACGGGUGAGUAACACGUGAGUAACCUGCCCUUGACUUUGGGAUAACUUCAGGAAACUGGGGCUAAUACCGGAUAGGAGCUCCUGCUGCAUGGUGGGGGUUGGAAAGUUUCGGCGGUUGGGGAUGAACUCGCGGCUUAUCAGCUUGUUGGUGGGGUAGUGGCUUACCAAGGCUUUGACGGGUAGCCGGCCUGAGAGGGUGACCGGCCACAUUGGGACUGAGAUACGGCCCAGACUCCUACGGGAGGCAGCAGUGGGGAAUAUUGCACAAUGGGCGGAAGCCUGAUGCAGCAACGCCGCGUGCGGGAUGAAGGCCUUCGGGUUGUAAACCGCUUUCGCCUGUGACGAAGCGUGAGUGACGGUAAUGGGUAAAGAAGCACCGGCUAACUACGUG